AUUGAACGCUUGCGGCAGGCUUAACACAUGCAGGUCGAACGAUGAUUAUCUAGCUUGCUAGAUAUGAUUAGUGGCGGACGGGUGAGUAACAUUUAGGAAUCUGCCUAGUAGUGGGGGAUAGCUCGGGGAAACUCGAAUUAAUACCGCAUACGACCUACGGGUGAAAGGGGGCGCAAGCUCUUGCUAUUAGAUGAGCCUAAAUCAGAUUAGCUAGUUGGUGGGGUAAAGGCCCACCAAGGCGACGAUCUGUAACUGGUCUGAGAGGAUGAUCAGUCACACCGGAACUGAGACACGGUCCGGACUCCUACGGGAGGCAGCAGUGGGGAAUAUUGGACAAUGGGGGCAACCCUGAUCCAGCCAUGCCGCGUGUGUGAAGAAGGCCUUUUGGUUGUAAAGCACUUUAAGCAGGGAGGAGAGGCUAAUGGUUAAUACCCAUUAGAUUAGACGUUACCUGCAGAAUAAGCACCGGCUAACUCUGUGCCAGCAGCCGCGGUAAUACAGAGGGUGCGAGCGUUAAUCGGAAUUACUGGGCGUAAAGCGAGUGUAGGUGGCUCAUUAAGUCACAUGUGAAAUCCCCGGGCUUAACCUGGGAACUGCAUGUGAUACUGGUGGUGCUAGAAUAUGUGAGAGGGAAGUAGAAUUCCAGGUGUAGCGGUGAAAUGCGUAGAGAUCUGGAGGAAUACCGAUGGCGAAGGCAGCUUCCUGGCAUAAUAUUGACACUGAGAUUCGAAAGCGUGGGUAGCAAACAGGAUUAGAUACCCUGGUAGUCCACGCCGUAAACGAUGUCUACUAGCCGUUGGGGUCCUUGAGACUUUAGUGGCGCAGUUAACGCGAUAAGUAGACCGCCUGGGGAGUACGGCCGCAAGGUUAAAACUCAAAUGAAUUGACGGGGGCCCGCACAAGCGGUGGAGCAUGUGGUUUAAUUCGAUGCAACGCGAAGAACCUUACCUGGUCUUGACAUAGUGAGAAUCCUGCAGAGAUGCGGGAGUGCCUUCGGGAAUUCACAUACAGGUGCUGCAUGGCUGUCGUCAGCUCGUGUCGUGAGAUGUUGGGUUAAGUCCCGCAACGAGCGCAACCCUUUUCCUUAUUUGCCAGCGGGUUAAGCCGGGAACUUUAAGGAUACUGCCAGUGACAAACUGGAGGAAGGCGGGGACGACGUCAAGUCAUCAUGGCCCUUACGACCAGGGCUACACACGUGCUACAAUGGUAGGUACAGAGGGUUGCUACACAGCGAUGUGAUGCUAAUCUCAAAAAGCCUAUCGUAGUCCGGAUUGGAGUCUGCAACUCGACUCCAUGAAGUCGGAAUCGCUAGUAAUCGCAGAUCAGAAUGCUGCGGUGAAUACGUUCCCGGGCCU
RNAcentral lists this ribosomal RNA (1355 nucleotides) under uncultured bacterium. RNAcentral's name for it is "bacterial SSU rRNA". It matches the Rfam family "Bacterial small subunit ribosomal RNA", at positions 28 to 1381 of the family's 1533-position model. The record is from RNAcentral.